This 430-nucleotide ribosomal RNA is filed under the name Pseudomonadota bacterium. RNAcentral describes it as "Proteobacteria bacterium partial 16S ribosomal RNA". It matches the Rfam family "Bacterial small subunit ribosomal RNA", at positions 355 to 777 of the family's 1533-position model. The record is from RNAcentral. Lineage: Bacteria; Pseudomonadati; Pseudomonadota.
UGGGGAAUAUUGGACAAUGGGCGAAAGCCUGAUCCAGCCAUGCCGCGUGUGUAAAGAAGGUCUUCGGAUUGUAAAGCACUUUAAGUUGGGAGGAAGGGCAGUAAGCGAAUACCUUGCUGUUUUGACGUUACCGACAGAAUAAGCACCGGCUAACUCUGUGCCAGCAGCCGCGGUAAUACAGAGGGUGCAAGCGUUAAUCGGAAUUACUGGGCGUAAAGCGCGCGUAGGUGGUUCGUUAAGUUGAAUGUGAAAGCCCCGGGCUCAACCUGGGAACUGCAUCCAAAACUGGCGAGCUAGAGUAGGGCAGAGGGUGGUGGAAUUUCCUGUGUAGCGGUGAAAUGCGUAGAUAUAGGAAGGAACACCAGUGGCGAAGGCGACCACCUGGGCUCAUACUGACACUGAGGUGCGAAAGCGUGGGGAGCAAACAGGA